RNAcentral lists this ribosomal RNA (406 nucleotides) under uncultured bacterium. Its description in RNAcentral is "partial 16S ribosomal RNA". It matches the Rfam family "Bacterial small subunit ribosomal RNA", at positions 30 to 526 of the family's 1533-position model. The record is from RNAcentral.
AUUGAACGCUGGCGGCAGGCCUAACACAUGCAAGUCGAACGAGUGGCGGACGGGUGAGUAAUGUCUGGGAAAAUGCCCGAUGGAGGGGGAUAAAUACUGGAAACGGUAGCUAAUACCGCAUAGCACCGGAGGUGCCCCGAUGGGAUAAGCUAGUAGGUGGGGUAAAGGCUCACCUAGGCGACGAUCCCUAGCUGGUCUGAGAGGAUGACCAGCCACACUGUAACUGAGACACGGUCCAGACUCCUACGGGAGGCAGCAGUGGGGAAUAUUGCACAAUGGGCGCAAGCCUGAUGCAGCCAUGCCGCGUGUAUGAAGAAGGCCUUCGGGUUGUAAAGUACUUUCAGCGAGGAGGCGUUACUCGCAGAAGAAGCACCGGCUAACUCCGUGCCAGCCGCCGCGGUAAUUC